Molecule: non-coding RNA, 476 nt
Organism: Camellia sinensis
Lineage: Eukaryota; Viridiplantae; Streptophyta; Magnoliopsida; Ericales; Theaceae
Source: RefSeq, a predicted model, not a curated record
UCAGUGCCAUAAUGUUGUUACGAGCAAAUUGUUCUAUGUGGGCUGUGCACACUAAUAUAAUCACUGAAAAACUAAAAAAGCUGAAGUUACUACCUUAUGUGUCUUAUUCCUUCCUUGCCUUAUUUGGUUUAAUGUUGUCUUGUAUGUUAAUCAGAAAUAUUUUGCUUUUAAAAUUUUGUUAGGUAUAUUCCUUUAUUGAACUCGACAUUCACGUUUCCCCAAAGCCUUGGUAUCCUUGGUGGUAGACCUAGUGCUUCAACUCAUUGUCGGCCUGCAGGAUGAAGAGGCUUUCUACCUUGAUCCACAUGAAGUUCAGCCGGUAGUUGAUAUCAGGAGGGAUAAUCUAGAGGCUGAUACUUCAUCUUAUCACUGCAACGUUGUGCGGCACGUACCACUUGACUCCGUUGAUUCAUCCUUGGCAAUUGGGUUUUAUUGCAGAGACAAAGAUGAUUUUGAUGAUUUUUGUAACCGUGCUU